Molecule: long non-coding RNA, 131 nt
Organism: Haliotis rubra (blacklip abalone)
Lineage: Eukaryota; Metazoa; Mollusca; Gastropoda; Lepetellida; Haliotidae
Exons: 2
Source: RefSeq, a predicted model, not a curated record
CACAGUGUUAUCCAUAAAAACUUGUCAUGUAUUCAGGAAUAUCUCAGUUCCUGAUACAGAUUAUUUCUGUGUUAGCGUAGACAGUGUAAAGUGUCUCAGCAUAGGCAACAGCUGAGCAUCUAUAGAUCACA